This 421-nucleotide ribosomal RNA is filed under the name uncultured bacterium. RNAcentral describes it as "partial 16S ribosomal RNA". It matches the Rfam family "Bacterial small subunit ribosomal RNA", at positions 360 to 774 of the family's 1533-position model. The record is from RNAcentral.
AAUAUUGGAUAAUGGGCGAAAGCCUGAUCGAGCCAUGCCGCCUGUGUGAAGGAAGUCUUCGGACUGUAUAUCACUUUCAGUUGGGAGGAGGGAAGUAAGUUAAUUCCUUACUGUUUGGACGUUACCGACCGGAUAAGCAACGGCUAACUUCACUGCAGUAGCCGCGGUAAUACGAAGGGUGCAAGCGUUACUCGGAAUUACUGGGCGUAAAGCGCGCGUAGGUGGUUUGUUAAGUUGGAAGUGAAAGCCCCGGGCUCAACCUGGGAACUGCUUUCAAAACUGGCAAGCUAGAGUAUGGCAGAGGGUGGUGGAAUUCCCUGUGUAGCGGUGAAAUGCGUAGAGAUAGGAAGGAACACCAGUGGCGAAGGCGACCACCUGGGCUAAUACUGACACUGAGGUACGAAAGCGUGGGGAGCAAACA